GGAUUCCCCUAGUAACUGCGAGUGAAGCGGGAAAAGCUCAAAUUUAAAAUCUGGCAGUCUCUGGCUGUCCGAGUUGUAAUCUAGAGAAGUAAUGCCCGUGCUGGACCGUGUAUAAGUCUCCUGGGAUGGGGCGUCAUAGAGGGUGAGAAUCCCGUCUUUGACACGGACUACCAGUGCAUUGUGGUAUGCUCUCAAAGAGUCGAGUUGUUUGGGAAUGCAGCUCAAAAUGGGUGGUAAAUUCCAUCUAAAGCUAAAUAUUGGCGAGAGACCGAUAGCGAACAAGUACCGUGAGGGAAAGAUGAAAAGAACUUUGGAAAGAGAGUUAAACAGUACGUGAAAUUGCUGAAAGGGAAACGCUUGAAGUCAGUCGCGUUGGCUGGAAAUCAGCCUUGCUUUUGCAUGGUGUACUUUCUGGUUGACGGGUCAGCAUCAAUUUUGACCGCUGGAAAAAGGCCUGGGGAAUGUGGCAGCUUCGGCUGUGUUAUAGCCCCUAGUCACAUACAGUGGUUGGGAUUGAGGAACUCAGCACGCCGCAAGGCCGGGUUUCGACCACGAYCGUGCUUAGGAUGCUGGCAUAAUGGCUUUAAGCGACCCGUCUUGAAACACGGACCAAGGAGUCUAACAUGCCUGCGAGUAUUUGGGUGGAAAACUCAAGUGCGUAAUGAAAGUGAAAGUUGAGAUCCCUGUCGUGGGGAGCAUCGACGCCCGGACCAGAACUUUUGGGACGGAUCCGCGGUGGAGCAUGUAUGUUGGGACCCGAAAGAUGGUGAACUAUGCCUGAAUAGGGUGAAGCCAGAGGAAACUCUGGUGGAGGCUCGUAGCGAUUCUGACGUGCAAAUCGAUCGUCAAAUUUGGGUAUAG
Molecule: ribosomal RNA, 861 nt
Filed under: Agaricus sp.
Lineage: Eukaryota; Fungi; Basidiomycota; Agaricomycetes; Agaricales; Agaricaceae
Description: eukaryotic LSU rRNA
Rfam family: Eukaryotic large subunit ribosomal RNA
Source: RNAcentral